GUCACACUCCUAGUAUCAGAGGCAGGAUUUGAAUGCAGGUCUUACUGACAUCGAGUCCAGACCUUUACCCGCUUAUCUAGUCCAACCUCUUCUUCCUACAGAUGUGGAAACUGAGUUUCAAAGAGGGAAAGUGAAGCUUGUCCAAGGCCACAUAUAUAGUAAAAGAAUUGAAAUUCAGACCCUCUGAAGCCAAAUCCAGGGAUUACACCAAGUGGAGGACAGAGGAGCUACACUUUUCCUAGGCUUCAACAAGGACAAUAAAAAAAAAACCAGGAAAAGGGAAGUUGAGAUCUGGGCUUUCUGGACCAAAAUUGGAUUUCACUUCACCUUGGCAAUGAACUGUGUUUAAAAGGGUCCUUCAAAAAGAUUCCCAGUGAUUGGAGGGAACGCAUCUCCUAUCAAAGAGAAGAUACUGCCCUCCAGUUGGUAUCUUUGCAGCGGUGCCCUCAGGAGCGAAGAUCUAUUGUCUCUUAGCUGUAUACUAUGCAAAUGCUACUUUGUAAACCAAAGUUUUAUUGAAAAUAUUUAAGUUCUUUCCAUGUGAAUGUUUCAUGCUUUCAUGAAAAAAAAGGAAUGUAAUAUUCUUGUUCCUCAACACCUUCAAGCCUAGAAAAGCUAUAUAGAAUUAGGCAUGGACUUAGAAGCUGAAAAAAAACUGAGAAAUCAUCUAGUCCAACCACCUCAUUUUACAGAUAGGGAAACUGAGACCAAGAGGUGAAGUGAAUAUAUACUCUCCUGACUCUGAUCUGUAGAUAAAAUGGAAGUUUCCUGUGUUAUUUUACUUCCAAGGUUCUGUGAUUUAGUUUGUGUGUGAACUUCCUCCACCAAACAGGUUACAACUCAGGUAUUACUUAUUAGAUAAGUCUUAGAGCAUGACUUGAAGCCCAGAGAAGUUAAGUGGAUUGCCUAUGGUCACACAGCUAGAAAGUGUUAGAGUUGAGGUUUGAACUCACAUCUUCUCGACUCCAAAUUCAGCAUUUUAUCCACAGCACCAUUCUGUCUCUCUUUAUGAAUAUAAUAACAUUUUGUGAACU
RNAcentral lists this long non-coding RNA (1034 nucleotides) under Vombatus ursinus (common wombat). RNAcentral's name for it is "lncRNA (ENSVURG00010020958.1)". The record is from RNAcentral. Lineage: Eukaryota; Metazoa; Chordata; Mammalia; Diprotodontia; Vombatidae.